This 349-nucleotide ribosomal RNA is filed under the name uncultured Ascomycota. RNAcentral describes it as "SSU rRNA". It matches the Rfam family "Eukaryotic small subunit ribosomal RNA", at positions 1326 to 1698 of the family's 1831-position model. The record is from RNAcentral. Lineage: Eukaryota; Fungi; Ascomycota.
CGAUAACGAACGAGACCUUAACCUGCUAAAUAGCCAGGCUAGCUUUGGCUGGUCGCCGGCUUCUUAGAGGGACUAUCGGCUCAAGCCGAUGGAAGUUUGAGGCAAUAACAGGUCUGUGAUGCCCUUAGAUGUUUUGGGCCGCACGCGCGCUCCACUGACAGAGCCAACGAGUUCAUUCCUUGACCGAAAGGUCUGGGUAAUCUUGUUAAACUCGGUCGUGCUGGGGAUAGAGCAUUGCAAUUAUUGCUCUUCAACGAGGAAUUCCUAGUAAGCGCAAGUCAUCAGCUUGCGCUGAUUACGUCCCUGCCCUUUGUACACACCGCCCGUCGCUACUACCGAUUGAAUGGCU